AUUGAACGCUGGCGGCAUGCUUUACACAUGCAAGUCGAACGGCAGCGGGGACUUCGGUCCGCCGGCGAGUGGCGAACGGGUGAGUAAUGCAUCGGAACGUGCCUAUCAGUGGGGGAUAACGGCUUCGAAAGGAGUGCUAAUACCGCAUAUUCUCUGAGGAGGAAAGCAGGGGACCUUAGGGCCUUGCGCUGAUAGAGCGGCCGAUGUCGGAUUAGCUAGUUGGUGAGGUAAAGGCUCACCAAGGCGACGAUCCGUAGCGGGUCUGAGAGGAUGAUCCGCCACACUGGGACUGAGACACGGCCCAGACUCCUACGGGAGGCAGCAGUGGGGAAUUUUGGACAAUGGGCGAAAGCCUGAUCCAGCCAUGCCGCGUGAGUGAAGAAGGCCUUCGGGUUGUAAAGCUCUUUUGUCCGGGAGGAAAUCCUGGACCUCUAAUACAGGUCGGGGAUGACAGUACUGGAAGAAUAAGCACCGGCUAACUACGUG
Molecule: ribosomal RNA, 486 nt
Filed under: uncultured bacterium
Lineage: Bacteria
Description: bacterial SSU rRNA
Rfam family: Bacterial small subunit ribosomal RNA
Source: RNAcentral